This 505-nucleotide ribosomal RNA is filed under the name uncultured bacterium. RNAcentral describes it as "partial 16S ribosomal RNA". It matches the Rfam family "Bacterial small subunit ribosomal RNA", at positions 28 to 507 of the family's 1533-position model. The record is from RNAcentral.
GACGAACGCUGGCGGCGUGCCUAAUACAUGCCAGUAGAACGCACAGUUUAUACCGUAGCUUGCUACACCAUAGACUGUGAGUUGCGAACGGGUGAGUAACGCGUAGGUAACCUGCCUGGUAGCGGGGGAUAACUAUUGGAAACGAUAGCUAAUACCGCAUAAUAUUGAUUAUUGCAUGAUAAUUGAUUGAAAGAUGCUAUUGCAUCACUACCAGAUGGACCUGCGUUGUAUUAGCUAGUAGGUGAGGUAACGGCUCACCUAGGCGACGAUACAUAGCCGACCUGAGAGGGUGAUCGGCCACACUGGGACUGGGACACGGCCCAGACUCCUACGGGAGGCAGCAGUAGGGAAUCUUCGGCAAUGGACGAAAGUCUGACCGAGCAACGCCGCGUGAGUGAAGAAGGUUUUCGGAUCGUAAAGCUCUGUUGUAAGAGAAGAACGGGUGUGGGAGUGGAAAGUUCACACUGUGACGGUAUCUUACCAGAAAGGGACGGCUAACUACGUG